Molecule: long non-coding RNA, 319 nt
Organism: Athene cunicularia (burrowing owl)
Lineage: Eukaryota; Metazoa; Chordata; Aves; Strigiformes; Strigidae
Exons: 5
Source: RefSeq, a predicted model, not a curated record
CAGCCAAGGCCGUGGCCCGGGUGUCCUCCCCCUGCGAGCCCUGUGCAGAAGGCACCUUCUCCAAUGUCUCUUCUAAAACCGAGCCAUGCCAUCCCUGGACAAGUUGCGAGGAAAAGGGGCUGGUGGUGAAGGUGCAAGGGACGAACACCUCAGAUGUGAUCUGUGAGUCGGGCGGGCGCUCCUCGCUCUCGGUGUUGAUCCCCAUCACGGCCGUGGUCGUCACUUGCCUCGUGGGCAUCUGCAUUUACUGCCUGGUCCACACAGAUCCCAGGCGGCGGGUGAAGCAGCAGGUGGAGGCCGGGGAGCCCCAGGAGCUCCC